AAGAAGAGAAAAUGGGAGAGGGAGAGAAAACAUACAAUUAUGUAUGUCUGGAGCACACCAUAUUAAAGGAGGGAGUGGCAGAAAACGUGAGGUGGGAAUCAAAUCAUGCUGGGCUUUUUGGCCAGCAAACUUGGAAAUCAUGUCUUAGAGAUCAAGGAGCCAAGAGAUGAGACAAGCCUGGGUUCCUAGGUGAUAGGGUGUGGCUGUGUCCCCACCCAAAUCUCGUCUUGAAUUGUAGCUCCCAUAAUCCCCACAUGUUGUGGAGGGACCCUGUGGAAGAUCUUUAAUAAAUGAAAUAAAUGUGACUGUAUGUCCUACAUCCCAUUCCUGUUGUCUUCCAUGUCUCCUCAGAGCAUCUACUUGUUUCCAAAGUUAUUUGGGUCAGCAUUUUCCUCCACCCACCACUUAAAACUGAUUUGUUUCAUACAUUUGAAAUGUAUGAAAAGCCAGAAAUCCAGGACCCACCCUGGCCUGCUCCCUUUUUCUCACCUACUGUGUUAAGGAUAAGUCAAUUGAGCUUCACUUCUCUAAUUGAAAUCACCGUGCUGAUGGAGUCUGUCUGUGGAAAUGAAAGGUGGCUACCAUAAUCUGUUGGGAGUUGAAUUAAUCCUCUGGGAGUGAGGCUGACCUAAUUACUCAGAAAUACUGGGCUUGCUUUCAUUCUGUGGAAUACAGCCAUGAGAAAGAGGCCAGCAUGCCAUUUCCUAAUCUUUUCUUGAAUUGCCUGAAACUCACCUAACAUGAAACUGAGAAGCCUUUUCAUUUGAAAGUGGUAUUUCUUAUGUUUUUUAUCUUUUUGCUUGAAAGUAUUCUUAAACUAAAGAAAGGAGAAACAGAAAAGGUGAAGAAGCCAAGAGGCUGGAGUUUCCUUUUGAAUGGAUAUUCAUCCAUGAAGCUGUUGAUUCUGUUUUUCUGUUCCUCCAGAUGUCUACACUUUUACCUCUGCUUGCCUGAUACAACCACCACCAGUCACCUCACAGAAUAACUCACUCCUUAAGAAUCUGAUCAGGAAUCAGCCUUCCCUGAUCACAAACACUGAGUUUAGAAGUCCCUCCACAGUGUCCCCCGUAACCCUGUGCUACCUCACUGCCUCAUAGUUUAGUGCCGUUUGUGUACAUGCCUAUCUUCGUCCAUGGAUCCAGAACAACUUGUAAAAAUGACUGUACUUAUCACCUUCAGUAUUCAAUGACUAAACUAUAAUUUUAACAUAUCUGGCAGAAUGAAUCACUUGGGGAUUUCUGCCAACACUACCAAUAUAUUACUCCUAAUUUGUAAUUAUUACUUAGCAUGGAUUAUAGUACCGGCUGUUGGAGAGCCAAUGUGGCAGACCCUAAGUGGAAUAAAAUGUCAGUAGCAGUCUAGGAGCAUAUAUUUAUUGGAAUAGAUCAUUCAUUCAUUUGUUCAUUAACUAAUUUGUUCAUUAAAUAAACAUUUAUUAAGCA
RNAcentral lists this long non-coding RNA (1442 nucleotides) under Homo sapiens (human). RNAcentral describes it as "CCDC26 long non-coding RNA". Lineage: Eukaryota; Metazoa; Chordata; Mammalia; Primates; Hominidae. The record is from RNAcentral.